AAGUCGUAACAAGGUCUCCGUAGGUGAACCUGCGGAGGGAUCAUUAACAAAAAAUAAAAUAAAAUUGUCCAAAUUUCAAAACAGCCCUAAAAACGCUCAAUGACUUUCGGCUUUUUUACUCUUUUACAAAAACACAACGCGAACUAUGUGACUGACCGAACGAAAAAACAAAAAUUCGUUUUUUUCUUUUUUGUUCGGCUUUUUUUCACUAACAACCAAUUUCACCAUUUUUUUUUUAUUUCUUUGAUAAAAAAAAGCCAAAACAAAUAUCAAAAACUGAAAAGUUGGAAUUUAAUUUCUAAUAUUUUUUUCACAAAAAAAACAAAAAUUAAAGCACAACUCUUAGCAACGGAUAUCUUGGUUCUC
RNAcentral lists this unclassified non-coding RNA (366 nucleotides) under fungal sp. RNAcentral's name for it is "partial internal transcribed spacer region". The stretch from base 1 to 46 matches the Rfam family "Eukaryotic small subunit ribosomal RNA", at positions 1786 to 1831 of the family's 1831-position model. Lineage: Eukaryota; Fungi. The record is from RNAcentral.